GACAGAGGGUGCGAACGUUGCUCGGAAUCACUGGGCGUAAAGCGCGUGUAGGCGGACCAGCAAGUCAGGUGUGAAAUCCCUGGGCUCAACCUAGGAACUGCAUCUGAAACUGCUGGUCUUGAGUGUCGGAGAGGGAAGCGGAAUUCCUGGUGUAGAGGUGAAAAUUCGUAGAUAUCAAGGAAGGAACCACCGGUGGCG
RNAcentral lists this ribosomal RNA (198 nucleotides) under uncultured bacterium. Its description in RNAcentral is "partial 16S ribosomal RNA". It matches the Rfam family "Bacterial small subunit ribosomal RNA", at positions 524 to 717 of the family's 1533-position model. The record is from RNAcentral.